UUUGACCCCUGCACUUUUUACCAUCCAAAAACAAUAUUACGCUAUAUUAAAUUGACACUGGUUGAGCUCUAGGACCAAGUGGAAAACAACUGUUUGUGUUGAAGCCUGUUUCCCAUUAGAGCAUACUGUAAAGAUACCCCCCCCCCCCCACACACACACACACACCCGUGUCCCCCCCACUUCUAAAGUGAAAAUUACGUCCAUGGUCUCAUUGUAUAAUCUCAGGACUCCACCCAUGCAAACCAGUUGGCUUUUAUUGAUGUUUAAAAAAACUUACUCUGCUGUAAUCUUCAGCGCGGACUGUUUUGCAUCUUUUUUACUCGAUGUUUUGAUUUCACAGCAUGGGAAGCCAACGUUUAGUGCUGUCUAACUGCAGCAGUAGGUGGCUGUUUCCAGUUCUGAAGCCGACGGCACGCCACCUGCUCAGCACCACACAGACAGACGUGCUGUCGGGUGAACAAGUGAGAGUACAACAGAAAAAAUAAUAAAACAGAUGAAAAUACGGCUCUAACCUCUGUUCUUUUUUACAUAUGCCACUCACUGAUGAGGCUGCUAAACACAGCAUGAACUUUCUUUCUUGAGGCAGUGGUGGAGCUAGGAGUUUUCUGUGUGUGGGGCCAUCAAGGGGGGCCACAAAAUUUAUUGAAGGGCCACGUAUUGAUCGGACACCUGUACACAAGAUUUCAUGCUAGAAAUUCCUAUUUUGCUCAUUAUGGGGCGACGGUGGCACGGGAGUUAAGUGCUCGCCCCGUAAUCGGAAGGUUGCAGGUUCGAGCCCCGCUCAGUCUGCCACUGUUGUUGUGUCCUUGGGCAAGACACUUAACCCACGUUGCCUGCUGGUGGUGGUCGAAGGGACUGGUGGCGCCAGUGCUUGGCAGCCUCGCCUCUGUCAGUGCGCCCCAGGGCAGCUGUGGCUACAUUGUAGCUCAUCCCCACCAGUGUGUGAAUGUGUGUGUGUGAAUGGGUGAAUGACUGAUUGCAUUGUAAAGUGCCUUGGGGGGUUUCAAGAGCUCUAGAAGGCGCUAUAUCAAAUACAGGCCAUUUACCAUUAUCACCUUUUGUUUGGACUUGGAGUUGCAUCCACCUGUAACCUAAUCAUCGUGCAAAGGAAAGAUGAGGGACAGGACAUGAGCACUCCAAGGGAGCCAAUCAGAUUUCAACAGGGACCAAUGCCCCUGUGGCCCCGGCCCUAGAACCGCCAAUGUCUUGUGGUCAAAGAGGAUCUUGCAGGGAUCACGAUGGACUUUCGAUAUUGUCUGGAAAAAAAUUGCAAGUGAGUUGAAAGGUUUUGCUGUUGAGUUGCUGCAACUUUCACAUGUCGUUUCCAAACUUUUCAGCUUCAGACCCUCAAAAUGGCAUCAAAGCAUGUGACCCCAGACAUCUCGAAUGUGCUUAAAAAGCUAAAUAAUUACGCUAUUUGUGUGGGUAGGAGUCAGCUGGUUCAGGAUGCCUCCUGGUCUGGAUUUAGUUUUCUAUGCAUGUCCCACUUAAGGGAGAUCUUGAGGAAAACCCAUUGGAGGGAUUAUUUCUUCUUUCUGAUCUGGGAAUGCCUUCCUCAGGAGGAGCUGGAGAAGUUGAGCUGACCUUUGAUUCAUUUUGUAAAACGUGUUAAUUUUAAGUCGAGGUAAACUCAGACAAUGUCACGUUAAAGUUUCAGCCCCUCCGUGUUUCGCCGAGUCCUGACUUCACACGAUUCAUGACACUUAGUGGAUGUUUGUCAUGAAAACAAUAAAAACAGACAGAGAUGUUCAGUUGAACGAUAUGAAGUUCAAAUCUGGUGCAAAAAGAAAUUCACUCUGCCACCAUCAGGUAACAUCAGCAGUUUGAUCAAUCAGUGGAGGAUAAAUCGCCGUGGUAACAGAGUCGACCAUGCUGGACAGUGGAAGGGAAAGACUGACUCAUCACGCUUAAUAAAACAAAGAGCAAACAACAAGUGCGUCAGGGACGGAUGUUCAGCAGCUAUAAAUGUCAAAAGCAUCAUUUCCCAGGGAGAGAGAUCACAGCAGAGAUCUCAGGGAGAGAUGUGAUCUCUCACCAGUUUCCACGCCUGAAAAUGGAUGUUUUCAUUUUAGAUGCACGUACUUUCUGUGUUUCCAAACAGCCCGCAGAUGCUGAUGUUUACGAGGUGAUGUUUACAGUUAAGAUGACCGGGAGGUGAUUUCAUCAUCACCGUUCACAGUGGGAGCUCCUCCUUCUCAUCACACUGAGUUUUCCCUGUUAUUAUAAACGCAUCUAAAGGAAGCUUUUGCACAGGAAAGUUAGAUCUCAGGAAGAAAGAUUUAGUUUUUACAUGUUUUUAAAAUAAAUUUUGACACUUUUAAAUGUCAAAGGAUUUUUUUUCCUGCAUUGCAAAUCUGUGCAGAUGUAUUGAGUCAGCCCUGUUUUAAUUUUUAAACAUUUUGUGUCCAACGAGCCAAACGUUUGUGUAAUUUUCUUCAACAUCUUUGAAAGUUUUUGGCUGCUCUUUCACCUCUUUUCAAUCAAGUUUUCAUGUUUGUAGGAAUUCUUCUUCCCAGCCACUUAACUCAGAUUUUGGAAUCAUUCUGACAUUAUAAAGCAGUUUUACCCAUAAAAUAUCAUCUCAGAACCCAUUGAUGCCAGAAUUCAGAGCAGAGAAGAAUGCAUCCAGUACAUCACGCCAAACAACCUGUUGCUUGGUCGAGCCACACAAAGGGGGGACUUUAGAGCUGUUGACUACACCACCUACCCUAUCAAAAGGCUCACUAAAGUACAAACAACAGUCACCAACUUCUGGAAAUCUUGGAGCCAACUUGCUGGCCCAAAUCUGUUCGUUCGAAGUAGGUGGCCUACUGCUGAAAGGAACGUUGCCAUUGGAGACAUUGUUUUGAUCGGCGGCCAAAAUGCACUAAGAGGGCAGUUCAGACUUGGAAAAGUCAGCAACGUGAAUCCUGAUUCUAGAGGUGUUGUUCGAGACGUGUGCGUGAGGGUCUCUCCAAGUUCCAGCGUUUCAAUGAAGAGUCCAAAAUCUGCUACCAAAGAUCCUGAGUCACGCACCGUUUUGCAUCGGCAUGUCCGACGCCUUGUGGUCCUUAUACCGAUAGAAGAUCAAGUCGGAUAAAGCUCGCCUGUAUGCGAUCUUUCUGGGCAUGCCAGAUUGAGUGGGAGGUGUCAUGCUAACUUGGCAGAUAUCGCUCUGUCAACUGUCUUCCCCUCACGCUGUCUCUUCUGCACAGUAUCUGCACAUGAGCUCUGCAUGCAAUCUUCUCACUGGCCAGAGGGGGCUUGUGAACUCUGGUGUGUGUCCUCCUCUAGGUGAGCCAAAUUAAGAAAUCAAGAGCACACAACCUCACAAUUCAGUGGCUUCUCGAGGCCUGCGGCAGGCAUUCAGCCAGUGUGUGACAAACUGAGAUGGCAGGGACAGCAAACAAUUCAACUGUGAGGAGGACUUUUGAUCUUGACAGGCUAUCGGUUUUCACCUGAUACUGAUGCUGACCUUUAUGAUGAUCCUGAAACUGGUCAAAUAAAGACAUCUGAGUGAA
Nothobranchius furzeri (turquoise killifish) is the source of this 3500-nucleotide long non-coding RNA. RefSeq lists it as uncharacterized. NCBI's taxonomy places the organism in Eukaryota, Metazoa, Chordata, Actinopteri, Cyprinodontiformes, Nothobranchiidae. The record is from RefSeq and is a predicted model, not a curated record.